This 255-nucleotide ribosomal RNA is filed under the name uncultured bacterium. Its description in RNAcentral is "partial small subunit ribosomal RNA". It matches the Rfam family "Bacterial small subunit ribosomal RNA", at positions 27 to 285 of the family's 1533-position model. The record is from RNAcentral.
GGGACGAACGCUGGCGGCGUGCUUAACACAUGCAAGUCGAACGGUGAAGCCCUUCGGGGUGGAUCAGUGGCGAACGGGUGAGUAACACGUGAGCAAUCUGCCCUUGACUCUGGGAUAACUUCGGGAAACCGGAGCUAAUACCGGAUAUGACAUACGGCCGCAUGGUCUGUGUGUGGAAAGAUUUAUCGGUCAGGGAUGAGCUCGCGGCCUAUCAGCUUGUUGGUGGGUAAUGGCCCACCAAGGCGACGACGGGUA